CGUCAGUUCGAGAACCACUUCGGCGCGACGAGGGUGCCGCUGGAGCGCAAUUACCGCUCGGCGCCGCGUCUCGUGAAGACCAGUCGGUGGUCCCGAAGGCGCUGGACCCGAAGGCGGUCGAGGCGGUCGC
RNAcentral lists this unclassified non-coding RNA (130 nucleotides) under plant metagenome. Its description in RNAcentral is "partial contains 5.8S ribosomal RNA, internal transcribed spacer 2, and large subunit ribosomal RNA". The record is from RNAcentral.